RNAcentral lists this ribosomal RNA (274 nucleotides) under uncultured bacterium. RNAcentral describes it as "partial 16S ribosomal RNA". It matches the Rfam family "Bacterial small subunit ribosomal RNA", at positions 523 to 796 of the family's 1533-position model. The record is from RNAcentral.
AUACGAACCGUCCAAACGUUAUUCGGAAUCAUUGGGCUUAAAGGGUGCGUAGGCGGUGCGGUCAGUUGGGUGUGAAAUCCCUCGGCUCAACCGAGGAACUGCGCCCAAUACUGCCGUACUUGAGGGAGACAGAGGUAAGCGGAACUGAUGGUGGAGCGGUGAAAUGCGUUGAUAUCAUCAGGAACACCUGUGGCGAAAGCGGCUUACUGGGUCUCUUCUGACGCUGAGGCACGAAAGCUAGGGGAGCGAACGGGAUUAGAAACCCCAGUAGUCC